Non-coding RNA from Miniopterus natalensis, 1143 nucleotides. NCBI's taxonomy places the organism in Eukaryota, Metazoa, Chordata, Mammalia, Chiroptera, Miniopteridae. The record is from RefSeq and is a predicted model, not a curated record.
GCCGGGGGACCCGCCUGGCCUCGCCCCUGGGCGGCCCGCGUCGUGACCCCUAAAUUCUGCCCCGUUGGUUUCCAAAACUGUUACUAUGGGGACCCUCCAGGGAGCCACGCGCGCUGAAUCCUUAAGGUGCCUCUUGGCUGUAUGCUGACUGCGGUUUAACUCCCGGUUAAACACAUUGCCCAGCUCGUUAUAGUUUAACACCUUCCUAUCCGUGUAGGAAACGUCCAGACCCAUAGAGGAUUUUCCUGAGCUUACGUGAGCCAAACUGUCGACAAGUGCGGGCAGCAAAAUUUCAACAAGUUGACAUCAUGUUCCAGGAUGAAGACCAUGAAGCCGUUGGCCCAGAGCAUGAGCGCGAAACACAGAACAUCAGGGGACAUUAACAACACUACAUAUAAGUCUUGGUUUUUCCUGUGAUGAACAGAAGAACAGUAUCCAAAAUUUUUUACACUUGUGAUGUUCUUGUUGCCCAAACUGCUAGACAUAACUAUAGGAGCAAUAACAUUUACCAGCAUUUGCAGGAUCCAGUACAAGAAAAUCAAAGGGGUGACGUAUUUGGGAGCUUUCACUUUAAGCUCUGCCCACCUGGAGUUCAUGGGGCUGAUGGUGAUGGCCUGGAAGAUGCUGAGGAGGCAGGUGGUGCCAAUGGACACACCCCUGCUCACUUGCCGAACAUAGGGGAAAAAUUUACAUCCAAAAUCACUGAGAUGGCCAUACCACCCAAAAGAUGUCAUCAUAUAGUGGAUUCCGCUAGAGAACAGAACCAAGGAGUUGGCCACAGUCAGGUUGUUGACAAUCAAAUCUGUGGGCCUCAGCCUGCACCCAGUGAAAUAAAGGAAGAGAUAAUGGUAAAGCAGAGAGAAAUUCCCCAGGACUCCAAUAACAGUGUGUAGUAAGAAGACUGUUCCUACGACCAGAUCCCUGGUGGCCAUGCUGUCUGUUCUCAGUGACCGAUAUUUUCUUCUGAGCUAGAGACGACCCUGCAUGGGAAUAUGAGGCAUAAGCCACAUGCAUCAUGUCAGCUGAACCCCAAUAUUCUCCACUUACCAGCAGUUCUUACUGAAAUACUGACUUAAAGUUUUUCUGUCAUCUAGAAGCCUCUAAAAGUUGAAUGUGUAACCAUUAAAGAACACUUUCAAAGUA